ACUCCGGUAUGUUAAUGGUUAGUGCUCUAGUCUGGUAGACCGGAGGUUGUGGGUUUGAUUCCCACCCGAGGUA
Non-coding RNA from Lucilia cuprina (Australian sheep blowfly), 73 nucleotides. The record is from Rfam. NCBI's taxonomy places the organism in Eukaryota, Metazoa, Arthropoda, Insecta, Diptera, Calliphoridae.